GCGGAUGUCAUAUAACGGCUUAUUAUCUCAGCCUUCCAAGCUGAUGACGAGGGUUCGACUCCCUUCAUCCGCUCUA
This 76-nucleotide transfer RNA is filed under the name Treponema bryantii. Its description in RNAcentral is "tRNA_Gly_TCC". It matches the Rfam family "tRNA". Rfam says of the family: Transfer RNA (tRNA) molecules are approximately 80 nucleotides in length. Their secondary structure includes four short double-helical elements and three loops (D, anti-codon, and T loops). Further hydrogen bonds mediate the characteristic L-shaped molecular structure. tRNAs have two regions of fundamental functional importance: the anti-codon, which is responsible for specific mRNA codon recognition, and the 3' end, to which the tRNAs corresponding amino acid is attached (by aminoacyl-tRNA synthetases). tRNAs cope with the degeneracy of the genetic code in two manners: having more than one tRNA (with a specific anti-codon) for a particular amino acid; and 'wobble' base-pairing, i.e. permitting non-standard base-pairing at the 3rd anti-codon position. Lineage: Bacteria; Pseudomonadati; Spirochaetota; Spirochaetia; Treponematales; Treponemataceae. The record is from RNAcentral.